Molecule: long non-coding RNA, 331 nt
Organism: Anneissia japonica
Lineage: Eukaryota; Metazoa; Echinodermata; Crinoidea; Comatulida; Comatulidae
Exons: 3
Source: RefSeq, a predicted model, not a curated record
GGAUCAGUGAGUUCAUUAUUACAGAUAAUUAUGGAAACUGUUAGUGAUUCAUGUUUUCGAAUUUUGAUGAAAGAAAAACGUUUGGGAAAACUGGAUGAGCUUGGUGUGGUCCAUGAAGCGGAUCUUGCACUAGUUACGGAAGGAUGACAUUCUAAAGGCCAUAGAUGUGCACAAGCGUAGUACACAUUUUAUAAAAGCAAAAUGUGAACAAAAAACACUCCAGAAACUUUAUUCCCAUUUCAAGCCUAGGAGAUUUAUCCAGUCCAGAGCGAAACUCAAGUCAAGAAGAGUACCUUGAUCUUCUAUCACAGAAGACAUUUUUUGCCAACAC